Molecule: ribosomal RNA, 261 nt
Filed under: Triticum aestivum (bread wheat)
Lineage: Eukaryota; Viridiplantae; Streptophyta; Magnoliopsida; Poales; Poaceae
Description: partial small subunit ribosomal RNA
Source: RNAcentral
AUGCCCAUUGUUGUUUCCAAAGUACUUUGCCGGAUUCCCGGAGAUGAAGAAGCAACUUGGGCUGACUUAUACAAUGUUAUGUAUCGAGAAAGGACACUUUUUUUAGUUCACUGCCCUAUACAUAGAAAGAAGUGCUUUUCCACCGGUAUCAACAUUCUAUCUGGAAACAGUAGCGAUAAUUGUUGUAUUGUGAGCCAGCCCCGUAAGACACUACGCAGCUCCAAAUUCUAUAUGAUUUUUCCAAUCAUUUCAUUUAUAUGA